RNAcentral lists this long non-coding RNA (4838 nucleotides) under Mytilus galloprovincialis (Mediterranean mussel). The record is from RNAcentral. Lineage: Eukaryota; Metazoa; Mollusca; Bivalvia; Mytilida; Mytilidae.
UUGAAACUAUAAAAAUACUUAUUUUGACCCCUUUUGGACCCCUUGCUCCUAAACUGUUGGGAUAAAAACCUCCAAAAUUGAUCUUCAGUGGUUAUAGUUUAAAAUUUUAUUGAUUUCUAUUUACUUAUACUUAUGUUAUUAUCCGGAAACCAUCUGGUUUUGGAUGACGCUGACGACUUGAUACCUAUAUAUGACUAAAGAACAUAAUAAAAAUUGCGGUUGUAUAAAAAAUUUAUGAGAAUAGUAUAUCAAAGGUCUUUGAGUGAUGUUUUACACUAAAAAUUUGAUAACAAAAAAGCGAGGCAUUCAGCAGUUAUAUUUUUAUAGGUAUUUUCAGAAAGGAACACUAAUGAUUUUAAUUAUGGGGGUAAGGCCAAUAUUGAUUUAAAGGGUAUGUUUCAAUAUCUGUAGUUGAUAUUUUCAGGGAUGAAAACAACGCUAUUUUUUGUCUUUUAGUUUGAAGUAAAAUAUUAAUUAAUGAAGUGUUGUACAAUGUUUUAGUUUUUGAUGUUCAAAUCACCUAUAAGCAAGUUUGUAUUUAUACAUCAUAGCAUUUUUUCUUUUUUGGUGCACAUGCACUCUUUUUCCUUGGUUUUCCAUCAUCAUCGUCUGAUUUUUUGUAUCCAAACAAUAACUGAAAUAGAAAGUCUUUUCGAGUUGUUUGUAAACACACCACUUUUAAUUGGCAGAGAAAACUAGUGUAUCUGUUUGGUUUGGGGUUUUGGCUCUUAAUUAUAACAAUCCUUGAGGGUGUGCUGUAGUAAUUUAAAUCUACGUGUUUCUGUUUCUAGUGCAUCUUCAUCAGGAUGAAAACCACAGGCGAGUACAAAAUGGUGGAGUGAUAAUUUGCAUGUCACAUUGUCAACAAGGGGAGUAAUUAUGAAUAGAAAAUGAGAGUUGGUAUGAAAGUAAACUUUAAAAAGAAUGUUAAAUAAAAUUGGUUGAAUAAUUUUUAAUCAAAUUUUGCAGAGGUACUGCUUCCAAUUGGCUUCCCUCAGAGUUACAUGCCUCUAAUUGGGACCGCUCUGCCAGGGGUACUGCUUCUAAUUAGCUUUUGCAGACAGAGGUAUAUAUGUACUGCUUCCAACUAGCUUCGCAACAAGACAGAGGGUGUGCUCCCAAUUAGCUUCACUAAGAGGUACAUGCUUCCAAUUGGCUUCGCUCAGACAACCAUACUACUUCCAGUGUUGUAAUGGUACGGAUUUGCAAGUCUAUACUACUUCUAUUGUUGAAAUGGUACAUAAUUGCAAUUAAUUGUCGUCCAAAUUUGCAAAAACAUAUUUUAUUUAACAUUCUUAAUCCAGUUUACUGUCAUACCUACUUUCACUCUCUAUUUGUAAUUUCUUCUUAUGGUGACAAAUUGUGAAGAACACAUUAUCACUUGGGAAUUUUGUACUCUUCUGUAGUUUUAAUCCUGAUGAGGGUGCGGUAGGAACCAAAACUUGUCUAUCUUAUUAAAUAAGACAACCUUUCCAUUAGUUGAUUACUGUAUACCCCUACCUCUUAUAUUUAAUUUUUUCGAUAAAAGAAACAAUUGUUCAUCAUUUUAUAAGGACUUUCUUUACAGUUAUCCCAUUUGCAGAGGACAUGGGGCAUUGACCAGCAUAUUAACUGUUCUGCUAAGUUUAAAACAAGGUGUUUGAUGAAUCAAGUUUGAUUUAGGCCUUUUUAAAAACUUGAAGCUGAUUAUUUGAUAACUCUCAUUUAUCAUAUAUGUUUGUCACCAAUGUAUGAGCAAAACAAAAUUAUAUGAAAUAUGAAAAGGCUGAAAUCUAAAGAUUUUAUCAUAGCUGUUAUGUGGUGGUUCUUUUUUUAAGGGAAAGCAGUUUGCUUCUAAGUUUCAAAAUAAUGAACUUUUCAAAACACUAGUUUAUGUUGAUAGAUGAUUAAUAAAGGAAUCAAAAGAGCAAAAAUAAUUUAAAGGUCAAUGUGCUCGUUUCCGAGAUAUAAACAAUUGAAAUUUUUGCGGGUAAAAUAUUCUCUCUUGACUUAUCAUAGCUUUAACAUUGACAAGUUUAAGUUUUAAUGAGACUUUAACAGAUGGCUUAUCAUUAUACAUGUUAAAGAUUUAUAAAUAAAAAAAUGGGGGUCAAUUUUUUUUAAGACAUUCAAAUGAAUAAAACCAGAGAAUUCUGAAAAUCUGACAAAUAUCCCAAAACAUGACAAGCGAACUUCCUUAAUUUCAUACAUAAAAAAAAUGUGCUUUCAGAUUUCAGCUUACUACUUCAAAUUGUAUUGAAAUCCCUCCUUUACAACGAAAUAUUUCCAGUAAAAUUCCUACACUGGCACAAGUUCUUUUUAAUAAGUAAUAAGGGGAGAUAAUCACAAAUUCUGAUAACCAAAUUGAUAUUAUCCCAUUUCACCUUAUAUUAAUAAGGGGCUUGUUAUUUUAUGCAUUACAUAAAAUGAAAUUAAGAUGGUAUUUGGGAGGGGGGUGUGCUUCUAAAAAAUUGUAAUUUUGUCCAUCAAAUUAAAAUUUGUGAAGCAAUUUUGCCAAAAAUAAUUCUUUCAGGAUGGAAAAGUUGCAAUAGCAUACCACACAGUUAGGAAAUGGUCAAAGGCGAUGCAAGACUAAAAAUAAGUUGAGGUCAAUUUAGGCUGUAACACAUAUUUACAUAUAAAAUUGCAUAUAGAAGCUAUAGGAAAGAGAAAUUUGUUUCUUUUUGGUUAUUUCUAUGCUUAAUUGACAUGAUACAAAAAGUUUAAGUGCAAUAAGACUCUUGCAUUGAACUUUUUUUGCAGACAGGGUACUUUAAUGCAAAUUUUAUUUUCAUUUUUCAGUGGAAAUUCCGAAAACUUGCAUGUAAUUUUAUUCUCAACAGGCAUAUAUUUGAACCACUAACUAUCCUACAGAAGAAAAAAAAAGUUUCAUAUGAAAGGAAACGGGUACAUUUAUCUUUGAAAAGUGAUUUUUUUACAGACUUAAAGUUAACUCUUUAAGAUGGAAUUCAACUAACUCAACUUUGAUGUACAUAGCUCCUUAUCAGGGAAUUUGCAGAAUCUACAUUUACUGAUCAGGGAAUUUGCUGAAUCUACAGUUACUGAACUCAUCUCUUAGGCCCAAGAACAGUUAUUUCAAUGUGCAUUUCAUAUACUGUAGACAAUAAACACAAAUAAAAUAAAUUACACUUGUUUUGACUGUUUUUUAAGGUGUAGUGCACUACUUAUGGGACAAAUUAUAUCAAAAUUAUAGAAAAGUCUAUCGGCUUUAACUCAAAAUAUGGACAAUUAUAUGUUAAGGUGGUCUGUAAUUCAAUAAUAUACAAAAUUUUACAUUACAUUAAGUACAUAUAGUACACAAAUUAUUGUUUUACAGAAACUAUAUUAUUUUACAUUCCCUGAAAGUAAGGCGUUUCAUCAAUAUUCUCCUGUUUUUUGGACUUGUCAAAAAUUCAGACAAAGAUGCUUAGAAUAACUCAAUGCAUGAAAAGUUUAAUGGAUGCUUUGUUAAACGUACUGCUCAAAUUACAGAAGAGAAUGUCUAAGUUAUAUUGGUAAACUGUGCACUAAAAAAACUUCUAGUAUGAGGCAUUAAACAGGUGCAUUACCUCCCCUUGACAAUGUAAAACUUAUGAUCAAUUACAACUGAGUCGAGUACCUAUAGCAAGCAAUAGGCUUGAUAUUUAGUCAAAAAAUGUCUGUGACUGGUAGUAAAUAACUUACAUAUUGCUACAUGUAAUCUCUUGAAAUGUAUCAUUACACCAAUUUUGACAAUAAUAUUUUUGAUUUCCAUAUAAAACCAUUGCUACACUAAAAAUAUUUUUGUUAUUUUUAGAUUCUCCAUUCUUAACCAAUGUAAAUGUUAACUUAAUAAGAACCAUUUUAUCUGUUGAGCCACAAGUAAAAAAAAUCCAUAGCAUUUAAUGGUAGAGAGAAAAAGAAAGUUGAGUGAAAAUUCAAAACACAAUACAUUAACCUUAAUUAAAACUUCCACUCUUGUUGAAAAUGGAGAAUCUUUACAUUAAUUAUUUUAGAAUUUAUCAACUACAUUCUUUCUCUUGUUUAUGCAAGAUUUAUAUGAACCGUUCAUAUUGGAAACUGUUCAGUAGAGUUAGAAAGACCCCAAAGGGAAAUAUGGUCACUCUUGGUCUUCUUCAGACUGGCAGUAAAAUCCUUGCAAAAGAAAGGCGUCUGUUUGGUAGUGCAGGCUAUACAAAUUGGCAGUCAUGUCCAGUGCGUCAGAAUGGGGAUUUUAAAUCUGAUGUCUUGUGAAGAGAGAGUGACCAGCUGUCAACAUGUUAAGAACCUUCACAACAUCUCUAAGGAGUAUGGAGAAUUAAUCACACAAUUAUAUCCUUCAGCCACAGUAAUAUUAUCUGAAAAAGAAAUACACUUUUCAAUUUUCUGUCAUAUUUUAAGAAACUGAAAUAGGCAAAAAUAGCAAACUGGGAAUAACAAUUAAAGCAGAGAAACUUUUUCAAAAUAAUAAUUUUUCCCUUCCUAAAACUUGACAGGUCAUUCCAGAAAAUAUUAAAUUGUAAAAAGAUUAUACAAAUCACAUGGGAAUUUACAUGAUCUUAAAUAGAAAAUUUUAUAAAUCUAUAAAAUAGUUCUUUCUUACUUUUAAAAGUCAACUCUAAUAGCCAUUUCCAACAUCAAUCUGUAAGUACAAGCUGGAAUGCUAACCUGAAAAAUAAAAUGCUUAGUCAUUGAAAAUAGUAAAAAAGGAAUCACUGUUGGUAUACUUUGUAUGUACAUUAUAUAUAAAAAUAUAAAAAUAGAUAUACAACAUUUUAAGGGAGUUGGCUUCUCAGUUUCAAAAUAAUUAACUUUUCAAAACACUAGCAUAUAUAUUGAUUAAUAAAGGAAUCAAAAGAGCAAAAAAAUAUAUAGGUCAU